RNAcentral lists this small nuclear RNA (197 nucleotides) under Nelumbo nucifera (sacred lotus). Its description in RNAcentral is "U2 spliceosomal RNA". It matches the Rfam family "U2 spliceosomal RNA". From Rfam's summary of the family: U2 is a small nuclear RNA (snRNA) component of the spliceosome (involved in pre-mRNA splicing). Complementary binding between U2 snRNA (in an area lying towards the 5' end but 3' to hairpin I) and the branchpoint sequence (BPS) of the intron results the bulging out of an unpaired adenosine, on the BPS, which initiates a nucleophilic attack at the intronic 5' splice site, thus starting the first of two transesterification reactions that mediate splicing. Lineage: Eukaryota; Viridiplantae; Streptophyta; Magnoliopsida; Proteales; Nelumbonaceae. The record is from Rfam by way of RNAcentral.
AUACCUUUCUCGGCCUUUUGGCUAAGAUCAAGUGUAGUAUCUGUUCUUAUCAGUUUAAUAUCUGAUACGUGGGCCAUAGGCUCACAUGAUAUUAAAAUAAUUUUUUCUUGGGGGAAAGCCCACCACAGUAGCUUGCUGCUGGGGCUUUCGCGCGUCGCCCAUGCGUUGCACUACUGCACGGGCCUGGCGCACUCCAU